UCUGCUGUGUUGAGUCCAGUGUGUGCAGCGCUGAACUUUAAUCUCCUCUGUUUCAGCUCACAGAAGAGGAGGAGAGCAGAAGCAGAGCCCAGCUGUGUGUCUCUGAAGAGUGACCGGUCUAUGGGUCACCCAGAAAACAAUUUUAGGAGUGAACACACACCACCUGCUCUCAGGUGGACCAUCUCUAUUAGCUCACAGAAGAGGAGGAGAGCAGAAGCAGAGCCCAGCUGUGUGUCUCUGAAGAGUGACUGGUCUAUGGAUCACCCAAGAACUGAUUUUAGGAGUGAACACACACCACCUGUUGUUGUCCUCAGUGUGGAUAGAGAUGAUCAGACUGGAGACCUGCAGCAGGAUUCACUCCAACCAGAACAUGA
Molecule: non-coding RNA, 374 nt
Organism: Danio rerio (zebrafish)
Lineage: Eukaryota; Metazoa; Chordata; Actinopteri; Cypriniformes; Danionidae
Source: RefSeq, a predicted model, not a curated record